RNAcentral lists this long non-coding RNA (651 nucleotides) under Ursus americanus (American black bear). Its description in RNAcentral is "lncRNA (ENSUAMG00000011485.1)". The record is from RNAcentral. Lineage: Eukaryota; Metazoa; Chordata; Mammalia; Carnivora; Ursidae.
UGUGGCCUGCCUUUCUGCACAGGACUGUGUGGCUGCGAGGAUAUUCUUCACUAAGAUAACUGGGAGACUGGAUUCCUGGUAAGCCCGGGACCCCACGGGCAGCCCUUCAGGUAAAGCUGGAGGAGCAUGGACUGCCUUGGCCAAACAGGGCCCACGCGGCUGUCAGGGUAUCCUUCACGAAGAGACACCUGGGAACCUUGAUUCCUGGUAACCCUGGGAUGCCAUCAGUACAGGUGUUAUAUCAGAAAUAACUCGGGGAUUCCAGAGCCACCUCCACAGUCUGUCGCAGGAGCUGUGAGCGGGGUAGGACCGGCGUGUCUGACCGGGCGCUCUGAGCGUGCCGCACAAAAUCCCUGCCGCAUGAAGCUCUUGGGGGCUGAUUUGGACCUCAGCCCGCGAGGCCCGAUCUGCGGCCUUGCCAUCCUCUCAGGAAUGAAGCAUCGCCCCCCAGCAGAAGACCUUUUGAAUGGCUCCUUGUGAAUGAACCCAAUCAAGACUUCUGGCAGCAUGUUCAUCCCUGGGAAGAGGGAUGCCAUAGCCCCAUGCUUUACAGAGGAGGAAACUGUGGCAGGGCUCGUCUAGAGCUAGAAUCAGCUCCGACACUAACUGCAGAGUUAGAGGCAAUGCCAGGGUCAGGAGAGGAGCCAGCUG